GAGCAGCCCCGGCUCGCAGCGCCGCCCUCCCCGCUCCCCGCAGCCCCUCCGCCUCCCCCGGCCGCUGCCGCACGAUCCCAAGGGCUCCUCUCGCUGCUCCCCGGGGCUCUGAAUAGCAGACACAGCGGGAAAAACUGUAACCAAGCCAAAGGCUAGAUCCAAAAAGGAACCAGAAAAUCUUUAAGCAAAUCAGAAUGUGAGCUCUGAAAAUGACACCUUAACCUGGUGCAGGAUCAAAAGCAGCCCCUCUUUUAUGGAGUAUGUGGUUUUUUAAAAAUUUCUUCUGAAAAAAAAGAAAUGCAGAACAACCUUUUUGCUGGGUCACUGGAGGACUGUGUGACCAUGACGGCCAUGGCAAAUGGAAUAGUCCAUCAUGUCUUUAAUGAAAACUUAACCAUUUUUAUAUGAAGCCAGUAAAGAGAGCAUUGCCUUUGUGGUGCUGCAUCUGAAUCCCACUUCAUCCUCAGGCCUCUUCUAUGACCUCAGAAGCUCCCUGAUAAGCCUUGGCCAAAGCAUCUGAACAGUAAAUGAUCCCUUGACCAUACUAGUUGAUCUGAGAGGUAUUUAUUCCCUCAUGGACUUUAGCUUGCAUGCUAAAGAUGCUAACAAGCAGAAAUAUCAGUUGCCCAACCUAGGUGGGAAACAAAGGAUAAGCAUUUACCAUUUGUACCUUUGGUAAAACGUUUUCCUGAAUCAUAGCCUGAAUAGAGUGGCACUAUUGGGAACUGCAGUUUGAGAGAAACUCAUAUCAUCACUGCACUUUGGGAGAAAAAAAGUGCAGUAGUUAUUAACUUGGGCUGUGGCCAGGAUGGAAACUUACUGAUGACCAGAGUUAAUCAUCUUGCAACCCUAUAAACAGCAGAGAGGCUCUUUGAGCUUUUUUGGACUGCAGCAGACUGGAUGAGCACCUCCCUCUGAGUGGGAUGCCUCUUGGAGCUCACAAACGCUCAGUUUGCAGUAUUCAACAAACUGUCUCUGAAGAUGAGCCCUAGGCUGAUAUCCCUGCCACAUCUUCAUGCUUCAUGAGCUGAAAUCCAUUGCCUGUUGGAAAUGCAAAGGACUUUGGCAUGAGUAUUUCAUUGAAUCUGAGAGGGAAUUUUUUAUAAGUACCUUUAAAAAAAAAGUGUGCAUAUUGCUUUAACUUGUGUGAGUGUGAUUUUUUUAGGAGUGUUACUAUCUCAAAUCUGUAGUUAAGUCAUUGUUACAAUUGUAGUGAACCCUACCUAUCAAAUUGCUAUGUAAAUGUUACUCAAUAAUUAAGUGCUGCUAAACCCUUUUGCACCCUUAUCUUUGCAUUCAUAUUCUUUGCACCCUUAUCCCCUUUUGCAUUCCCAGCUUCUGUGCAAAUCAUUCCAAAUUGCUUCUAAGUUGAUCAUCCUUUUUAUGCUUUGAUCUGGGUAGUACAUAAUAGAGUGAACCUUGCCAUUGAGCUCUGUAAAGUCACAUUUCCACAAAUUCAUGUGAAACUCUGCUUUUGCCAAUACUUUUGACAAUGUUUCUUUAAGCAGCCAAACCACUCAUUCAUGACAGACUUGAAUGGGUUGGUGUGGAAUGGCAGCAGUGGAGUACUGGAGUACACAAGGCACUGUCAGCAUAUAGGACUUCUCUAAAAUAACAUGGAAGGUUUUGUUGUUAUACCUGACCAACCAAGUUGGAUCCUUUUCUUUGAAGUAAAUACUGAUUAAAAGCCUGACACUUUUAUUUAAGAAAAUAAGGAUAUUUCAAAGGGCUCCAUUUGUACUGUAAGUUGAAUAUUAAAGAAGUUGCUGAAAGAAAACUGUGAGGGGGAGGGCAAUUGGGUCUGGCUUUAAAAUGGUAUGUGCAAUACUUAAUGGUUGCCAAAGGGAUACCUUAGUGAGCUUUUGUUGCAAUAAGCCAUAUGUGUGACUGAGUACAAGAUGCUUAUUUAUUUGCUUCCUCCAGAUACUCUCUCCACUGCAGCAGAUACUUGCUAGGAGGGAUACCAUCUCCCAUUGCUCCAGCUGGUUGAGGGGUUUGGACCCUCAGCGCUGCAUUUUGGUAUUCCAGGAGAUGUUGUGUAGCGGUGAAAAGGCCACUUUGCAUCUGCUCUGCUUGUUUGUAAAUAACUGAAUUUAAAGUAAGAGAUAUUCAGAAUAAGGGUGAUGCCUGAAUUGCAUGUUAAGUCCAAGAAAUGUGUUUUCAUUAAUGAACAAAGAGCCUUUAGAUGAGAUGCUCUAAAGAAAGCUCCUUUUAUAAAAUGGAGGGUGCUAGAAAGUGUGUGUCACUGCCACUAUCAACUCAAUAGAGGUUAUGCACUGAUGGAAGGAACAAGGGAGCUGGCAGAAGUCUGUCUCUUGCUGUCAGUUCCAGGCUGCAGGCUUUUAUGUUCAUUUGUAUUGCAAUCAAUAAGGAAUAGCUUAAAUUGGGCUCUGGAAGCUUGAUUUUAUAGUUUGCUAAAUUUCUUUUUUAAAUUUGUUUAAAAUAAAAGAGAAGUUUCUAUGGAAACCUUCCUUUUAUUCAAGAAAAAUAUCUCCCAGUCUUUGUCUCCUCCUCACACAACCAGGGCUGGCUGGAUCUCUGCCAAGAUCCAGCUGCACUCUCCCAAAGCUGCCACUCCAGCUCAGUGCUGGCCAGUGGAACAAACACUUUGCUACCGCACCCAUUGUGCAAUUAAUGCUGCCUCUUCACCUGUAGGUGAUGUUCCCUAUUCACAC
This is a long non-coding RNA of Passer domesticus (house sparrow), 2675 nucleotides long. RefSeq lists it as uncharacterized. The record is from RefSeq and is a predicted model, not a curated record. The transcript has 3 exons. Lineage: Eukaryota; Metazoa; Chordata; Aves; Passeriformes; Passeridae.